Molecule: ribosomal RNA, 305 nt
Filed under: uncultured bacterium
Lineage: Bacteria
Description: partial 16S ribosomal RNA
Rfam family: Bacterial small subunit ribosomal RNA
Source: RNAcentral
ACAGCAGCAGCCACGGGAAUACGUAGGGUGCGAGCGUUAAUCGGAAUCACUGGGCGUAAAGCGUGCGCAGGCGGUUUUGUAAGACAGGCGUGAAAUCCCCGGGCUUAACCUGGGAACUGCAUUUGUGACUGGCGAGCUAGAGUAUGGCAGAGGGGGGUAGAAUUCCACGUGUAGCAGUGAAAUGCGUAGAGAUGUGGAGGAAUACCGAUGGCGAAGGCAGCCCCCUGGGCCAAUACUGACGCUCAUGCACGAAAGCGUGGGGAGCAAACAGGAUUAGAGACCCCAGUAGUCCCUGUCUCUUAUAC